RNAcentral lists this transfer RNA (69 nucleotides) under Gadus morhua (Atlantic cod). RNAcentral describes it as "transfer RNA-Pro". It matches the Rfam family "tRNA". Rfam says of the family: Transfer RNA (tRNA) molecules are approximately 80 nucleotides in length. Their secondary structure includes four short double-helical elements and three loops (D, anti-codon, and T loops). Lineage: Eukaryota; Metazoa; Chordata; Actinopteri; Gadiformes; Gadidae. The record is from RNAcentral. RNAcentral also lists the same sequence under 1 other name.
CAGAGGGUAGUUUAAUUUAGAAUUCUAGCUUUGGGAGCUAGUGGUGGGAGUUAAAAUCUCUUCCCUCUG